This 238-nucleotide ribosomal RNA is filed under the name uncultured bacterium. RNAcentral describes it as "partial 16S ribosomal RNA". It matches the Rfam family "Bacterial small subunit ribosomal RNA", at positions 796 to 1041 of the family's 1533-position model. The record is from RNAcentral. RNAcentral also lists the same sequence under 1 other name.
CACGCCGUAAACGAUGGAUACUAGCUGUUGGGCGCAAGUUCAGUGGCUAAGCGAAAGUGAUAAGUAUCCCACCUGGGGAGUACGUUCGCAAGAAUGAAACUCAAAGGAAUUGACGGGGGCCCGCACAAGCGGUGGAGCAUGUGGUUUAAUUCGAUGAUACGCGAGGAACCUUACCAAGGCUUAAAUGUAGAUUGACAGGUUUGGAAACAGACUUUUCUUCGGACAAUUUACAAGGUGC